RNAcentral lists this long non-coding RNA (390 nucleotides) under Olea europaea (common olive). RNAcentral describes it as "long non-coding RNA (OEUR_LNC002593)". The record is from RNAcentral. Lineage: Eukaryota; Viridiplantae; Streptophyta; Magnoliopsida; Lamiales; Oleaceae.
UGGGUUUCACAUUCGAUUGUGAAUUUUACGGGUUAGACAUAUAGCUCAUUGUGUUUUGUUAUUGGGCCAAAUUAAUUAUGUGAUCAAUUGGGCCUUUACACCUUACGGGUUGAAAUUAAAUAAUGUGGUAAUUUUAAGUAUGUGGGCCGGAAUAAAAACCCUAAUAAGGGCCUGUUGAGUCUUAAUGGGAGACCUAUUUGAUUCCUAUAUAAAGGCUAGGUCCCUUCUCCUCUUCAUAUCGUUUAAGUUUGUCCCAUUGAUAGCUUUCAAUUUUGUGAGGAGCAAGGAGGGGAAGAUCCAGCCUCUAUUAUAUAUUACAUCCAUAAUUCAUAUUGAUUGCUUCCGCAGGUACGUAUUUAAUUCAUUGGUUUAUUAAAGUUGUGAUUCCAA